CCUACGGGCGGCAGCAGUGAGGAAUAUUGGUCAAUGGGCGGAAGCCUGAACCAGCCAAGUCGCGUGAGGGAUUAAGGCCCUGCGGGUCGUAAACCUCUUUUGCCGGGGAGCAGAGGUCCGGACGUGUCCGGGCCGGGAGAGUACCCGGAGAAAAAGCAUCGGCUAACUCCGUGCCAGCAGCCGCGGUAAUACGGAGGAUGCGAGCGUUAGCCGGAUUUAUGGGGUUAAAAGGGUGCGUAGGCGGGCAGUUAAGCCGUCGGUCAAAUGGCGGGGCUCAACCCCGGCCGGCCGUCGGGACGGGGUGCCUUGAGUGGGCGAGAAGUAUGCGGAAUGCGUGGUGUAGCGGUGAAAUGCAUAGAUAUCACGCAGAACCCCGAUUGCGAAGGCAGCAUACCGGCGCCCUACUGACGCUGAGGUACGAAAGUGCGGGUAUCGAACAGGAUUAGAUACCCGGGUAGUC
Molecule: ribosomal RNA, 460 nt
Filed under: uncultured bacterium
Lineage: Bacteria
Description: partial 16S ribosomal RNA
Rfam family: Bacterial small subunit ribosomal RNA
Source: RNAcentral